Molecule: non-coding RNA, 31 nt
Filed under: Mus musculus (house mouse)
Lineage: Eukaryota; Metazoa; Chordata; Mammalia; Rodentia; Muridae
Source: RNAcentral
UGCCAGACACGCAGUUGAAGCCAGACCCAUU